This is a ribosomal RNA of 774 nucleotides. It matches the Rfam family "Bacterial small subunit ribosomal RNA", at positions 63 to 820 of the family's 1533-position model.
CGAGCGGACAGAAGGGAGCUUGCUCCCGGAAGUUAGCGGCGGACGGGUGAGUAACACGUAGGUAACCUGCCCCUUAGACUGGGAUAACUCCGGGAAACCGGAGCUAAUACGGGAUAAUAAAGAGAAUCGCCUGAUUUUCUUUUGAAAGACGGUUUCGGCUGUCACUAAGGGAUGGACCUGCGGCGCAUUAGCUAGUUGGUAAGGUAACGGCUUACCAAGGCGACGAUGCGUAGCCGACCUGAGAGGGUGAUCGGCCACGCUGGGACUGAGACACGGCCCAGACUCCUACGGGAGGCAGCAGUAGGGAAUCUUCCGCAAUGGACUAAAGUCUGACGGAGCAACGCCGCGUGAGUGAGGAAGGCCUUCGGGUCGUAAAGCUCUGUUGUGAGGGAAGAACAAGUGCCGGGGUAACUACCGGCACCUUGACGGUACCUCACCAGAAAGCCACGGCUAACUACGUGCCAGCAGCCGCGGUAAUACGUAGGUGGCAAGCGUUGUCCGGAAUUAUUGGGCGUAAAGCGCGCGCAGGCGGCUUCUUAAGUCUGAUGUGAAAUCUCGGGGCUCAACCCCGAGCGGCCAUUGGAAACUGGGGAGCUUGAGUGCAGAAGAGGAGAGUGGAAUUCCACGUGUAGCGGUGAAAUGCGUAGAUAUGUGGAGGAACACCAGUGGCGAAGGCGACUCUCUGGUCUGUAACUGACGCUGAGGCGCGAAAGCGUGGGGAGCAAACAGGAUUAGAUACCCUGGUAGUCCACGCCGUAAACGAUGAGUGCUAGG